Molecule: ribosomal RNA, 490 nt
Filed under: uncultured bacterium
Lineage: Bacteria
Description: partial 16S ribosomal RNA
Rfam family: Bacterial small subunit ribosomal RNA
Source: RNAcentral
GAUGAACGCUAGCUACAGGCUUAACACAUGCAAGUCGCGGGGCAGCAUGGGGGUUGCUUGCAAUCCCCGAUGGCGACCGGCGCACGGGUGAGUAACGCGUAUCCAACCUGCCCUUCACCACGGGAUAACCCGGCGAAAGUCGGACUAAUACCGUAUGUUGUCCAUUGACGGCAUCCGAUUUGGACGAAAGGUUUGGCGGUGAAGGAUGGGGAUGCGUCCGAUUGGCUGGACGGGGGGGUGACGGCCCACCGUGGCGGCGAUCGGUAGGGGUUCUGAGAGGGAGGUCCCCCACACUGGAACUGAGACACGGUCCAGACUCCUACGGGAGGCAGCAGUGAGGAAUAUUGGUCAAUGGGCGUAAGCCUGAACCAGCCAAGUAGCGUGCAGGAUGACGGCGCUAUGGGUUGUAAACUGCUUUUAUGCGGGGAUAAAGUGGCCCACGUGUGGGUUUUUGCAGGUACCGCAUGAAUAAGGACCGGCUAAUUCCGUG